CCUACGGGAGGCAGCAGUGGGGAAUAUUGCACAAUGGGGGAAACCCUGAUGCAGCGACGCCGCGUGAGUGAGGAAGUAUUUCGGUAUGUAAAGCUCUAUCAGCAGGGAAGAAAAUGACGGUAACUGACCAAGAAGCCCCCGCUAACCACGUGCCAGCAGCCGCGGUAAUACGUAGGGGGCAAGCGUUAUCCGGAUUUACUGGGUGUAAAGGGAGCGUAGACGGAAUUGCAAGUCUGAUGUGAAAAGCCGGGGCCCAACCCCGGAACUGCAUUGGAAACUGUAUUGCUAGAGUGUCGGAGAGGCAAGUGGAAUUCCUAGUGUAGCGGUGAAAUGCGUAGAUAUUAGGAGGAACACCAGUGGCGAAGGCGGCUUACUGGACAGUAACUGACGUUGAGGCUCGAAAGCGUGGGGAGCAAACAGGAUUAGAUACCCGGGUAGUC
This 440-nucleotide ribosomal RNA is filed under the name uncultured bacterium. RNAcentral's name for it is "partial 16S ribosomal RNA". It matches the Rfam family "Bacterial small subunit ribosomal RNA", at positions 338 to 795 of the family's 1533-position model. The record is from RNAcentral.